Molecule: ribosomal RNA, 301 nt
Filed under: uncultured bacterium
Lineage: Bacteria
Description: partial 16S ribosomal RNA
Rfam family: Bacterial small subunit ribosomal RNA
Source: RNAcentral
CAGCCGCCGCGGGAAUACAGAGGGUGCGAGCGUUAAUCGGAUUUACUGGGCGUAAAGCGUGCGUAGGCGGCUUCUUAAGUCGGAUGUGAAAUCCCUGAGCUUAACUUAGGAAUUGCAUUCGAUACUGGGAAGCUAGAGUAUGGGAGAGGAUGGUAGAAUUCCAGGUGUAGCGGUGAAAUGCGUAGAGAUCUGGAGGAAUACCGAUGGCGAAGGCAGCCAUCUGGCCUAAUACUGACGCUGAGGUACGAAAGCACGGGGAGCAAACAGGAUUAGAUACCCCGUAGUCCCUGUCUCUUAUACC